GAUGAACGCUGGCGGCGUGCCUAAUACAUGCAAGUCGAGCGAACAGACGAGGAGCUUGCUGCUCUGACGUUAGCGGCGGACGGGUGAGUAACACGUGGAUAACCUACCUAUAAGACUGGGAUAACUUCGGGAAACCGGAGCUAAUACCGGAUAAUAUUUUGAACCGCAUGGUUCAAUAGUGAAAGACGGUCUUGCUGUCACUUAUAGAUGGAUCCGCGCUGGAUUAGCUAGUUGGUAAGGUAAAGGCUUACCAAGGCAACGAUGCGUAGCCGACCUGAGAGGGGGAUCGGCCACACUGGAACUGAGACACGGUCCAGACUCCUGCGGGAGGCAGCAGUAGGGAAUCUUCCGCAAUGGGCGAAAGCCUGACGGAGCAACGCCGCGCGAGUGAUGAAGGUCUUCGGAUCGUAAAACUCUGUUAUUAGGGAAGAACAUAUGUGUAAGUAACUGUGCACAUCUUGACGGUACCGAAUCAGAAAGCCACGGCUAACUACGUG
RNAcentral lists this ribosomal RNA (497 nucleotides) under uncultured bacterium. Its description in RNAcentral is "partial 16S ribosomal RNA". It matches the Rfam family "Bacterial small subunit ribosomal RNA", at positions 28 to 507 of the family's 1533-position model. The record is from RNAcentral.